Nothobranchius furzeri (turquoise killifish) is the source of this 4263-nucleotide long non-coding RNA. The record is from Ensembl. NCBI's taxonomy places the organism in Eukaryota, Metazoa, Chordata, Actinopteri, Cyprinodontiformes, Nothobranchiidae.
AUGUCCAGCAAGGCUUCAUCCCUCAAGACCCGAUCCGAAGCUUCGUGCGCCUCCUCUACGGGUUCUGCAGCAGCCAAAGCCAGAGCAAAAGCUGAGGCAGCCAAAGCACGUCUCCGCUUCGCAGCUAAAGAAAUAGAUUUGAAGGUAGAAAAAGCACAAAUAGAAGUAGCAAAAGCUAAAGUUGAGGCAUCCAUCGAAUAUUUACAGCAUGAAAACGAUGUAGCGUCAGCCAUUGCUGAAGCAGAGUCAUUAGAAGCAGCUGCUGCCACACAGACAGAAACACGCAGCAACAUCUGUCCCUCAGUAACAGCAGAAAUAACUAAACAAUAUGUCAUUGGCCAAUCUGCAUUUGUGAAAAAGGAAAAUGAUUAUGCUCUUCAACAAUCACAAGGGGAAAAUGUAACACAAAGUAAACCAGAGCUCACCUGUGAUCAGCCACCAAACCCUAAAAAAGAUAAUGACCCACAAAAAAUUCCAGUUGGUCUACCAGAUGAUCCAGACCGUGGCCAAAACUCUCCAGUCAUUUUCCCUUCUCAUGCUGAUAAAAAUUACAGUACCAAUUGGUCAAAUCAGGUGUCAGCAUCUAGCUCCCAUGAUGCUAGACCUUUAUACAAAGAGCCUAGAGAAUCAAAUGCGAGUGACUUCAUCAGAUACUUUGCUCGUCGUGAAAUAGUGGCAACAGGGCUACUCCAGUUUAAUGACAAGCCCCAAAACUUCAGAGCUUGGAAACGCUCAUUUAAAAAUGCUAUAAGUGGGUUAGAUCUAACGGCAAGUGAAGAAAUGGACUUGAUGUUAAAAUGGCUUGGCAAGGAAUCGGCUGAACAUGCAGAACAAUUCAGAGCCAUACACAUCAACAAUCCAGUUAAUGGCCUCAACAUGAUAUGGGACAGACUUGAACAAUGUUAUGGCUCAGCUGAAGUGAUUGAGGAUGCACUAUUUAAAAGAAUUGAUACAUUCCCAAAAAUCUCAUCCAAAGACUUUGCAAAACUGAGAAAAUUUAGUGACCUGCUCAUGGAAGUGCAGUGUGCUAAAGCUGGAGGAGACCUCCCCGGUCUCGCGUUCUUAGAUACAGCAAGAGGAGUAAAUCCAAUUAUUCAAAAACUCCCCUUCUACCUGCAAGAAAGGUGGAUCACGGUCGGCGCCAACUACAAACGCACAAAAUGUGUCUCCUUCCCACCAUUUAGUGUUCUAGUAGAUUUUGUUGCGCAAGAAGCUGAUGCUAGAAACGACCCCAGCUUUAAUCUAACACCAUCACCUGAUGCACCCAGACCAGACAAAUUACCUUGGAGGGCAAACAGACAAAAAGAGAUUUCUGUACACAAAACUGAUGUUGUCUCUCGAUCUAGUUCAGACACUCAGAGGUCCCUGAACAAAAUUGUAGAUGGCGAAAAGCUUUGUCCAAUCCACAAGAAAGCCCAUCCUCUCUCAGUGUGCAGAGCAUUUCGCAUGAAAACACUGUUAGACAGGAAAACGUUCUCAAAAGAGAACGACUUUUGCUUCAGAUGCUGUGCCUCAUCUUCACACAUAGCAAAGAACUGCAAGGCCAAAGUACAGUGUGCUGAGUGCAGUGAUGAGAGACACUGCACGGCUUUGCACCCAGGACCAGCUCCCUGGCUAAAAGAAACCGAACCGGCAGCAGAGCAUGGCGGGGAGCCUGACACCAUUGAAUCCGAGGAGAUCACUUCUAAAUGCACUCAGGUUUGUGGUGUGAACGAAGCAGGCAGAUCUUGUUCUAAAAUCUGUCUCGUUAAUGUCUACCCAGCAGGCCGCCCACACCAAGCAGUAAGGCUUUAUGCCAUCCAUGAUGAACAAAGUAACAUAUCACUACUAUGUCCUGAGUUCUUCGAGUUGUUUAAUGACUGUGGCCCUAGUUCUCCUUACUCGCUUAAGACAUGUGCAGGUACCAAAGAAACAAUGGGUAGAAGAGCUACAGGUUAUGUAGUGGCAGCUUUAGAUGGUUCAGUCCACAUCCCACUGCCUAGCCUAAUUGAGUGUAAAAAUAUCCCAAAUGACAGAGACGAGAUCCCCACACCCAGUGCAGCUAGACAUCACAGCCAUCUAAAGUCAGUGGCUCACCUCAUUCCUGCCUUGGACUCCGCCCCCAUACUAAUGCUUCUUGGACGAGAUGUUAUUAGAGCUCACAAAGUCUGCAAACAGAUAAGUGGCCCUAACAACGCACCCUAUGCUCAAAAAUUGGACCUAGGAUGGGUCAUAGUAGGAAACGUGUGUUUAGGUGACGUCCACAAAACUCCUUCAGUAAGGACUCUGUUCACAAAUACAACUGAAAGGGGACGUCCCACAGCGUUUGAGCCAUGUCCUAAUGUUUUCAACGUAAAAGAGAAACAUUGUGGGAUACAAGUUCCACUCAACUUCAGCGCUCAGCUGGCAGACAGCGCUUGUGAACCUGAUCAUUUAGGAUGUAAUGUGUUCAAACAAACCAGAAAUGACAACUACAUCUCACCUUCCAUCCAGGACAAUGCCUUCUUAAAAAUAAUGGAGGAAGGACUAACAAAAAACACAGAUAACAGUUGGACAGCUCCUUUACCAUUCAAAAAUCCACACCGAAAGCUCCCUAACAACAGACCACAGGCCCUGAAUCGCCUAAUGUCUCUUCUUCGCACCUUUGAAAAGAAAAAAGAGAUGAAGGAACAUUUCACCACUUUCAUGGACAAAAUAUUCCAAAACAAACAAGCAGAGAUUGCCCCUCUACUAAAGGAGGAUGAGGAAUGUUGGUAUCUGCCACUAUUCGGUGUCUACCAUCCCCGUAAACCCAAGCAGAUCAGGGUCGUCUUCGACAGAAGUGCCAAGUAUGAAGGCGUAUCCCUGAAUGACGUUCUGUUAACCGGACCAGAUUUUAAUAAUCCAUUGCUUGGGGUCCUAAUACGCUUCAGAAAAGAAGCUGUUGCCUUCACAGCAGACAUCGAACAGAUGUUCUACUGUUUCAGCGUGCGAGAGCAAGACAGGAACUACUUACGCUUCUUGUGGUUCCGCGACAAUGACAUUUCCAAAGAAAUUGUGGAGUAUAGAAUGACAGUCCACGUUUUUGGGAACAGCCCAUCGCCAGCAGUGGCCAUAUAUGGCCUGCACCAGUCAGUCCUACACGUUGAACCAGACUGCGAUGCAGAUGUGAAGCAGUUUGUCAUGCGCGACUUCUAUGUUGAUGACGGACUCAAAUCUCUACCUACUGUUGAAAAAGCCAUAUCUCUACUCCAAAGAACCCGAGAUGCACUUGCAAACUCAAAUUUAAGACUGCAUAAAAUAGCAGCCAACAGAAAGGAAGUUCUAGAGGCUUUCCCAACUCAAGAUCACGCCAAAAACUUAAAAAACCUAGACUUUGAAUCUGAUUCAGUGCCCAUGCAACGCAGCCUAGGUCUCCUCUGGGACUUGAGUAAAGACUGCUUCACCUUUGAAGUAUCUGAUGAGCCAAAGCCCUUUACUAGACGAGGUGUUCUAUCAACAAUAAACAGCCUCUAUGAUCCGCUGGGCUUUGUAGCACCAGUAACCAUACAGGGAAAGUCAAUUCUACGAGAACUUACAGCUGAAAAUGGGGACUGGGAUGCUCCACUGCCUCCUGAAAUGGAAGAGUCCUGGACACAGUGGAAAGACUCACUCAAAGACCUGCCUAACAUGACCAUUCCCAGAGCAUACACAGACAUUUCUCCUUCAACAGCUGUGAGAAAAGAGUUGUGUGUUUUUUCAGACGCAUCUACCAAAGCCAUAGCUGCAGUGGCCUAUUUAAAAGUGACAGAUGCAGAAGGACACACUCAAGUAGGCUUCGUAAUGGGUAAGGCUAAGCUGGCACCACGCCCAGAUCAGACUAUUCCAAGAUUACAGCUUAGUACUGCCGUUUUAGCGGUUGAGCUCGCAGAUCUUAUCUCAGAUGAACUUGACUGUAAACUAGAUCACACUACCUUCUACACAGACAGUAAAGUAGUCCUAGGCUACAUCUACAACGAGUCUAGAAGAUUUUAUGUCUAUGUCAGUAAUCGUGUGACUAGGAUCCGCAGAUCUUCUCAGCCACGCCAGUGGCACUAUGUAGCUAGCAGUCAGAACCCUGCAGAUCACGCCACUCGUUCUGUUCCUGCAUACCAGCUGCCGCUUAGUAACUGGCUCACUGGCCCUGACCUUUUACAUCAGAUUCAGAGUCCUCUAAACAACUCCUAUGACCUUGUAGAGCCCAGCAUAGACUCAGAUGUAAGACCUCAGGUAACUGCACUCAAACCAACAACCUCAACUAAAGAACUGGNUGAUAUGACCUUGUAG